GCCAGGGUAGCUCAGUUGGUUAGAGCACAGCAUUCAUAACGCUGAGGUUCGCGGGUUCGAUCCCCGCCCCUGGUA
This 75-nucleotide transfer RNA is filed under the name Patescibacteria group bacterium. Its description in RNAcentral is "tRNA-Met". It matches the Rfam family "tRNA". Rfam says of the family: Transfer RNA (tRNA) molecules are approximately 80 nucleotides in length. Their secondary structure includes four short double-helical elements and three loops (D, anti-codon, and T loops). The record is from RNAcentral.